This 1625-nucleotide long non-coding RNA is filed under the name Brassica napus (rape). RNAcentral describes it as "long non-coding RNA (BNAP_LNC018757)". The record is from RNAcentral. Lineage: Eukaryota; Viridiplantae; Streptophyta; Magnoliopsida; Brassicales; Brassicaceae.
UUGUUUUUAAAUUAUUAUUAUUAUAUAUAUUACACAAAAUACACAAAUACACAGAUACACACAAAUACAUCGUCAUCUAUACGGGUAAAGAGGAAUGUCACCGUCGGCUUCAGCACCUCCACCGCCGUAGCUUCCGUGCUUCACCACCAUCUCCGUCGCGUUUCCUUCGUCACACCACCAGAUCCGGCAUGUCUGUUCCGUCACUAUACCACCUCCAGCGCGUUUCCUCCGUCACGCCACCACCUCCGACGUGUCUGCUUCUUCUCAGAUCUAUAAACAAAACAAAGAAAAACAAUUAGAAAUAGCUUAAGAGAUGCAGAGAAAGAGAUUAGAAGAGGAGUGAAACACCUUGCUUCUUCACAAACAAUGAAGAAAUAGGAUGAAACACAGAGUCAUGAAAUCGGCUUGGUCUCUACGACAAUGGCGACUAAUGCUAAUGACGGCAGGUGUGAAUGGAGGUAGAGUAGGGAUAGACAUGGAGAUGAAUGGAGAUUGAGCAAAGGAGAUAAGUUGAGAUUGAUAAGAAGAGGAGAAAAAGAGUAGAUGAGGAGCAGAAGAUGGAGUACGUGAGGAGAAGAAGGAAUAAUCUUAGUCAAAAACAAAGAAAGAGGAGAUGAGACGAUGGAACUUGUGAGGGGGAGAAGGGAAGAAAAAGUUAAAACAAAACCAAAUCAAUCUGAUCCGUUGGAUCUAAUAUUAUCAAUGGUUAGGAACAUAAAAUGGUUAUCCACACCAUUCCAAAAUGAACCAAUGAGAAAUCAGCACUCUAUCUCUUUAAUAGUUUAUUAUUAGAUUCCAUAGUUUAGGAUUAUAUUUAUGUUUUUGUUGUUUAUGUUUUGAUUUCAAUAGAAUUGCAACUUAGAUAUAUUAGAAUUUGGGUUUGAUAAUUAAAAGUUUAAAGUUGAAAGUUUAUAUUUAUGAUUAAAGGUUUGGAGUUAAGAAAAUAGGUAAUGAGGUAUAUAUUUAUUGUAUGAGUUUUAAAUUUUAUAAGAUUAAAUUGAAAAUAUAAAAUUGAAAAGUUCUGAUAGAAUUGGGGUUAGGUUUGGGUUAAGGGUAACACAACUUGAUUUAAUAUAAUUUAUAAAGUUAUUUAAGUAGUAUUGUGUUAUGAUAUAAGGUUAAUUUGGAGUGUUAGGUUUAAGGUUUUGAGUAAAUUUGAGAAUAAGGUUUUAAAAUUUUAGAUUAGUAGUUUAUGUUUAAGUUUUGGUGUUUGGUGUUUGGAUUUUAUGAUUUGGGUAUAAGGUUUAGGGUUAUAGUAUAUGGUUUGGAAAAUAAUGUUUGAGGUAUAAAUUUAAGUUUUGGAAUUAAUUUUUUAAAAAUAUUAAAUUUAAUGUUUUGAGGUUAUAGUAUGAAAAUUUUAUGAUUUUUUUGUUUAACUUUAAAAACAUUAGAUUUAAUGUUUAGAUUAGUUAUUUAGGAUAUAAAGAUUAUACAUAGAGUUUAGGGUUUGGGAUAUAGUAUUGAGUUUAGAUUUAAAAAUUAAGAUUAGAUUUUUAAAAAUAUUGAAUUUGAAUUAAACUUUAAGAUUUUAAGGUUAUAGUAUGAAAAGAUUAGAUUUUUAAGGUUUAUUCUUAGAGUUUAUGGGGUUAACACAUAUUUAGGGUAUAGGGUUUCAUGUAGCCACA